GUGAAUGAAUGACUCUUUUGAACGAGUCGGUUCUUCACAAAAUAUUGCAAAUGAAUUACUGUUUUGUACCGGGUCGAUUCUAAACUAGCUAUUGAUUGAACGGUUUGAAUCAGUUUGAAUGAUUUGUUCCGUUUGCUGCAAGAUCUGAAUCAUCUGUACAUCUGCAGGCUGCAGCACUUCUCGCUCGUAACGUGAAACUUAAAAACACGCCAAGGAGUGGAUGCAAGUGAACUAUCAAUCUACUGAAACAGAAGCGGGAAAUGUAUUCGAAGACGAAAAUGCUCGCGCGACCUGUGCGUCAGACCCGGAUAAACGCACGCGAGCUGACAAAAUCCUGAGUAGCUGUUAUUCAACAUAAACACAUUUCCGCACACAUGAAGAUGGAUGACGAUAGUUCAUCUUAAAAUGAAACUUAGGUUUAUCAGCUUACCCCCAGGCCAUCCAAGAGAUGCUCUUAAGAACAACGCCCUGAUGUCCAAGGUCAACCAGCAAGAAGCUGAGAAGGCACUGCCAAAAUGGUUUACUGGGGCAAGGGACAGAGGAGGACAGAGAGCAUCAAGAAUGCAGAAAAGGAUGUCUGUUUGAGAAAGGUUAAAACUACAGUUGUUGAUUUGAACUGUUGUAGUUCUUUAAUUUUUCUUAAAGGAAAACACAAUCAUUUUUCAAUAUUUACCAUGUUCUUCCCUCAACUUAGAUGAAUUAAUACAAACCUCUCUUUUCUCAAUGUGUGCACUUAAAGGUGGGGUGCACAAUUUCUAAAAAAAACGUUUUGGAAAAGGGAGACAGGCCGACUAUCAAAACACACUUGUAGCCAAUUAGCAGCAUGUCUACUAAAUUACAUCGUUGCCUGGGUUGCGUAUGUGUGGGGCGGGUCUAUCAAAAGAAGGUCCAGAUUCUAUUAGGGUAAGGGUGUGUUUGUUUAGAUGAUUUCAAAUAUCAACAUUGGCUUUCAUGCACUCUGCCUUUAUUUGUUGUAAAGUGUGGCGUGAAUGUGUUAGCAUUUAGCCAAGCACCAUUCAUUCAUUAGGAUCCAAACAGGGAUGAAUUUAAUAGCCACCAAACACUUCCAUGUUUUCCCUAUUCAAAGACUGUUACAUGAGUAGUUACACGAGGAAGUAUGGUAAAAAUAUAACUAUAUUGUAUGGCGGAAGAGCACUUAGUUUGUAGCACUCGACCUUGGGCACAGUAACAUCAUCACUCCUGACUA
Molecule: non-coding RNA, 1207 nt
Organism: Misgurnus anguillicaudatus (oriental weatherfish)
Lineage: Eukaryota; Metazoa; Chordata; Actinopteri; Cypriniformes; Cobitidae
Source: RefSeq, a predicted model, not a curated record